GAUGAACGCUGGCGGCGUGCCUAAUACAUGCAAGUCGAGCGAACGGACGAGAAGCUUGCUUCUCUGAUGUUAGCGGCGGACGGGUGAGUAACACGUGGAUAACCUACCUAUAAUACUGGGAUAACUUCGGAAAACCGGAGCUAAUACCGGAUAAUAUCUUGAACCGCGUGGUGCAAAAGUGAAAGACGGUCUUGCUGUCACUUAUAGAUGGAUCCGCGCUGGAUUAGCUAGUUGGUAAGGUAACGGCUUACCAAGGCAACGAUGCAUAGCCGACCUGAGAGGGUGAUCGGCCACACUGGAACUGAGACACGGUCCAGACUCCUACGGGAGGCAGCAGUAGGGAAUCUUCCGCAAUGGGCGAAAGCCUGACGGAGCAACGCCGCGUGAGUGAUGAAGGUCUUCGGAUCGUAAAACUCUGUUAUUAGGGAAGAACAUAUGUGUAAGUAACUGUGCACAUCUUGACGGUACCUAAUCAGAAAGCCACGGCUAACUACGUG
RNAcentral lists this ribosomal RNA (497 nucleotides) under uncultured bacterium. Its description in RNAcentral is "partial 16S ribosomal RNA". It matches the Rfam family "Bacterial small subunit ribosomal RNA", at positions 28 to 507 of the family's 1533-position model. The record is from RNAcentral.